GAUGAAGAACGUAGCGAAAUGCGAUAAGUAAUGUGAAUUGCAGAAUUCCGUGAAUCAUCGAGUCUUUGAACGCACAUUGCGCCCCCUGGUAUUCCGGGGGGCAUGCCUGUCCGAGCGUCAUUGCUGCCCAUCAAGCACGGCUUGUGUGUUGGGUCGUCGUCCCCUCUCCGGGGGGGACGGGCCCCAAAGGCAGCGGCGGCACCGCGUCCGAUCCUCGAGCGUAUGGGGCUUUGUCACCCGCUCUGUAGGCCCGGCCGGCGCUUGCCGAACGCAAAUCAAUCUUUUUCCAGGUUGACCUCGGAUCAGGUAGGGAUACCCGCUGAACUUAAGCAUAUCAAUAAGCGGAGGA
RNAcentral lists this unclassified non-coding RNA (349 nucleotides) under soil metagenome. Its description in RNAcentral is "partial contains 5.8S ribosomal RNA, internal transcribed spacer 2, and large subunit ribosomal RNA". The stretch from base 1 to 120 matches the Rfam family "5.8S ribosomal RNA", at positions 35 to 154 of the family's 154-position model. The record is from RNAcentral.